GACGAACGCUGGCGGCGCGCUUAAUACAUGCAAGUCGAACGAGAAGCCAGAGCUUGCUCUGGUGGAAAGUGGCGAACGGGUGAGUAACACGUGAGAAACCUGCCCCAAAGAUUGGGAUAAGCCUUGGAAACGAGGUCUAAUACCAAAUACCUUCUUUUUAACACAUGUUAAAAAGAAGAAAUGCUCCGGCGCUUUGGGAUGGUCUCGCGAUCUAUCAGCUUGUUGGUGAGGUAACGGCUCACCAAGGCAUCGACGGAUAGCUGGUCUGAGAGGAUGUCCAGCCACAUUGGAACUGAGACACGGUCCAAACUCCUACGGGAGGCAGCAGUAGGGAAUCUUGCACAAUGAGGGAAACCUUGAUGCAGCGACGCCGCGUGCGGGACGAAGGCCCUAGGGUUGUAAACCGCUUUCAGUAGGGACGAAAGUGACGGUACCUACAGAAGAAGCCCCGGCCAACCUAUGUGCCAGCAGCCGCGGUAAU
This 481-nucleotide ribosomal RNA is filed under the name uncultured bacterium. Its description in RNAcentral is "bacterial SSU rRNA". It matches the Rfam family "Bacterial small subunit ribosomal RNA", at positions 28 to 524 of the family's 1533-position model. The record is from RNAcentral.